UCCAGAUUGAAAUGGAAUAUGUUAGAUGAGGAUCGAAAUUAAUAAUCGAUUUCAGUUUGAAAUUUCAACUCGCCAAUAGUUUUGCCAAGAGUUUUCUUUUUCGUUUUUUGUCCUAGAGGCAACGGAUCGAUGUUGGUUGUAUUCUGAAUAUUGUAUUUCCUUUUUCGAUAGUGAAGUUCUCUUCUCUCUCGCCCGUAGUUUUUUCUUAUAAAGAAUUUUUCACGUAAAUCUAUGUAUUCUUUUAUUUCCGCUUGUGGUUCGUUUAUUUUGUGUUCGCCAUUUUCGUUUUCUGCUUGUGCGCUUGUCGUAACAAAAUAUGGAGAUGAAUUAUUUAGAUGCCACAGUGCAUCAAACUGACAGAAAU
This 364-nucleotide long non-coding RNA is filed under the name Ananas comosus (pineapple). RNAcentral describes it as "long non-coding RNA (ACOM_LNC025622)". The record is from RNAcentral. Lineage: Eukaryota; Viridiplantae; Streptophyta; Magnoliopsida; Poales; Bromeliaceae.